This 271-nucleotide ribosomal RNA is filed under the name uncultured prokaryote. RNAcentral's name for it is "partial 16S ribosomal RNA". It matches the Rfam family "Bacterial small subunit ribosomal RNA", at positions 524 to 794 of the family's 1533-position model. The record is from RNAcentral.
UACGGAGGAUCCGAGCGUUAUCCGGAUUUAUUGGGUUUAAAGGGUGCGCAGGCGGGGGAUUAAGUCGGCGGUGAAAUUUUGCAGCUCAACUGUAAAAGUGCCUUCGAAACUGGUUUCCUUGAGUGUAGAUGAAGUAGGCGGAAUUUGUGGUGUAGCGGUGAAAUGCAUAGAUAUCACGCAGAACUCCGAUUGCGAAGGCAGCUUACUAAGCUACUACUGACGCUCAGGCACGAAGGCGUGGGGAUCAAACAGGAUUAGAUACCCGUGUAGU